CACCUGCUCUAGGAUGGGACUGCGGCCGAUCAGGCUGUUGGUGGGGUAAUGGCCCACCAAACCUGUAACCGGUACGGGCCUUGAGAGAGGGGGCCCGGAGAUGGACACUGAGAGAAGGGUCCAGGUCCUACGGGGCGCAGCAGGCGCGAAACCUUCGCAAUGCGCGAAAGCGUGACGAGGUUAAUCCGAGGUGGUUCCCGCUGAGGGAAUCUUUUGUUGGCUCUAAAAUGGCCAGUGAAUAAGGGGGAGGGCAAGUCUGGUGUCAGCCGCCGCGGUAAUACAAGCUUCCUCGAGUGGUCGGGGCCGAUUAUUGGGCCUAAACAUCCGUAGCCUGUUCUGUAGGUCUUCUGGUAAAUCCAACGGCUAACCGUGGGUCUGCAAAGAUACCGCAGGACUAGGAGGCGGAAAGGGGACGGUACUCACGUGU
This 427-nucleotide ribosomal RNA is filed under the name uncultured archaeon. RNAcentral describes it as "bacterial SSU rRNA". It matches the Rfam family "Archaeal small subunit ribosomal RNA", at positions 196 to 626 of the family's 1478-position model. The record is from RNAcentral.